ACCUUCGGGUAUCUGGUCAAUUGAAACGAUACAGAGAAGAUUAGCAUGGCCCCUGCACUAAGGUUGACACGCGAAAUCACAGAGAAGCUACCAUUUUUU
RNAcentral lists this small nuclear RNA (99 nucleotides) under Plenodomus lingam JN3. Lineage: Eukaryota; Fungi; Ascomycota; Dothideomycetes; Pleosporales; Leptosphaeriaceae. The record is from RNAcentral.